CCUAUUAUACUAAAUGUUAAUUUUGCACCUGGGUAGUAAUAGUUAAGUUCUUGAAACCCAAAGAAUUUGGCGGUAUUUUAGUCUAUUCAGAGGAACCUGUUGUAUAAUCGAUAAUCCACGAUUUUAUUUACUUAUAUUUGUAUUCAGUUUUUAUACCUCCGUCAUAAGAAUGUUUUUUUAGAAUAAAUUUUCUUGAUUGUUCAAUACAUAUAUGUCAGGUCAAGGUGAAGCUUAUGUAUAAGUACUAAUGGGUUACAAUAAAACUAUUUAUACGGAUCUUUUAAUUUACAUUUAAAUUGAAGGUGGAUUUGUAAGUAAAGUUAAUUAAUUAUCUUAUUUGAUUUUAGCUCUAAAAUAUGCACAC
Molecule: ribosomal RNA, 364 nt
Filed under: Hesperagrion sp. OD028
Lineage: Eukaryota; Metazoa; Arthropoda; Insecta; Odonata; Coenagrionidae
Description: partial 12S ribosomal RNA
Source: RNAcentral